GUCGGCGACCACGCCACGUUGAAAGCACCGGUUCUCGUCCGAUCACCAAAGUUAAGCAAGAUUGGGCCCGGUUAGUACUUGCAGGUU
This 87-nucleotide ribosomal RNA is filed under the name Trichobilharzia regenti. The record is from RNAcentral. Lineage: Eukaryota; Metazoa; Platyhelminthes; Trematoda; Strigeidida; Schistosomatidae.